RNAcentral lists this ribosomal RNA (445 nucleotides) under uncultured bacterium. RNAcentral describes it as "partial 16S ribosomal RNA". It matches the Rfam family "Bacterial small subunit ribosomal RNA", at positions 354 to 796 of the family's 1533-position model. The record is from RNAcentral.
GUGAGGAAUAUUGCGCAAUGGAGGCAACUCUGACGCAGCCAUGCCGCGUGCAGGAAGAAGGCGCUACGCGUUGUAAACUGCUUUUAACCGGGAAGAAACCCCAGGACGUGUCCUGGGUUGACGGUACCGGAGGAAUAAGCACCGGCUAACUUCGUGCCAGCAGCCGCGGUAAUACGAAGGGUGGAAGCGUUAUCCGGAUUCAUUGGGUUUAAAGGGUGCGUAGGCGGAGCGUUAAGUCAGUGGUGAAAUCCUGCAGCUUAACUGUAGACUUGCCAUUGAUACUGGCGCUCUUGAGUGCGCUUGAAGUGGGCGGAAUGUGCAGUGUAGCGGUGAAAUGCUUAGGUAGGGCACAGAACACCAAUUGCGAAGGCAGCUCACUAAGGCGAUACUGACGCUGAGGCACGAAAGCGUGGGGAUCGAACAGGAUUAGAAACCCCGGUAGUCC